CGAUCGGGGGGCAGGCCUAACCAUGCAAGUCGAGCGGAUGAAGGGAGCUUGCUCCUGGAUUCAGCGGCGGACGGGUGAGUAAUGCCUAGGAAUCUGCCUGGUAGUGGGGGAUAACGUCCGGAAACGGGCGCUAAUACCGCAUACGUCCUGAGGGAGAAAGUGGGGGAUCUUCGGACCUCACGCUAUCAGAUGAGCCUAGGUCGGAUUAGCUAGUUGGUGGGGUAAAGGCCUACCAAGGCGACGAUCCGUAACUGGUCUGAGAGGAUGAUCAGUCACACUGGAACUGAGACACGGUCCAGACUCCUACGGGAGGCAGCAGUGGGGAAUAUUGGACAAUGGGCGAAAGCCUGAUCCAGCCAUGCCGCGUGUGUGAAGAAGGUCUUCGGAUUGUAAAGCACUUUAAGUUGGGAGGAAGGGCAGUAAGUUAAUACCUUGCUGUUUUGACGUUACCAACAGAAUAAGCACCGGCUAACUUCGUGCCAGCAGCCGCGGUAAUACGAAGGGUGCAAGCGUUAAUCGGAAUUACUGGGCGUAAAGCGCGCGUAGGUGGUUCAGCAAGUUGGAUGUGAAAUCCCCGGGCUCAACCUGGGAACUGCAUCCAAAACUACUGAGCUAGAGUACGGUAGAGGGUGGUGGAAUUUCCUGUGUAGCGGUGAAAUGCGUAGAUAUAGGAAGGAACACCAGUGGCGAAGGCAACCACCUGGACUGAUACUGACACUGAGGUGCUAAAGCGUGGGGAGAAAACAGAUUAUAUACCCUGUUUAUU
This 766-nucleotide ribosomal RNA is filed under the name Pseudomonas aeruginosa. RNAcentral's name for it is "bacterial SSU rRNA". It matches the Rfam family "Bacterial small subunit ribosomal RNA", at positions 34 to 794 of the family's 1533-position model. Lineage: Bacteria; Pseudomonadati; Pseudomonadota; Gammaproteobacteria; Pseudomonadales; Pseudomonadaceae. The record is from RNAcentral.